CAGUAGCCGCGGUAAUACGAAGGGGGCUAGCGUUGCUCGGAAUUACUGGGCGUAAAGGGAGCGUAGGCGGACAUUUAAGUCAGGGGUGAAAUCCCAGAGCUCAACUCUGGAACUGCCUUUGAUACUGGGUGUCUUGAGUGUGAUAGAGGUAUGUGGAACUCCGAGUGUAGAGGUGAAAUUCGUAGAUAUCGGGAGGAACAUCAGUGGCGAAGGCGGCCAUCUGGGACAACACUGACGCUGAGGAGCUAAAGUGUGGGGAGCAAACAGGAUUAGAUACCCGAGUAGUCCCUGUCUCUUAUAC
This 301-nucleotide ribosomal RNA is filed under the name uncultured bacterium. Its description in RNAcentral is "partial 16S ribosomal RNA". It matches the Rfam family "Bacterial small subunit ribosomal RNA", at positions 509 to 807 of the family's 1533-position model. The record is from RNAcentral.